This 204-nucleotide long non-coding RNA is filed under the name Homo sapiens (human). RNAcentral's name for it is "HSALNT0254263". The record is from RNAcentral. Lineage: Eukaryota; Metazoa; Chordata; Mammalia; Primates; Hominidae.
UUGGCCAGGCUGGUCUCGAACUUCUGACCUCAAGUGAUCCUCUUGCCUUGACCUCCCAAAGUGCUAGGACUACAGGAAGCUCAGACACCCGCCUCAGCACGAGGGCCUUGCCUGGCACUGCUCCCUGGGACUGCUGGGGCUGGCAGCCUGAAAGAGGGACAGACCUAUUGUGGGGGGACCAGGAGCUCUGGAUUCACUCCCACC